GUCCUUUUGUUUAUAAUUUAAGGUUUAACCUGCCCACUGAAUAAUAUUUUAAAUGGCCGCAGUAAUUUGACUGUGCAAAGGUAGCAUAAUCAUUAGUUUUUUAAUUAAAAGCUUGUAUGAAAGGUUGGACGAGGUAAAUUCUGUCUUUAUUUAAUUUAAAUUAGAAUUUAAUUUUUAAGUUAAAAAGCUUAAAUAUAUUUAAAAGACGAGAAGACCCUAUAGAUCUUAAUAUUAAUUAUAAUAAAUUUAAUUAAGAAUAAUUAAUUUUUUAUUAUAAAAAAUAUUUUAUUGGGGUAAUAAAAAGAUUAAAUAAAUUCUUUUUUUAUUUUUACAUAGAUAAAUGAAUAUUUGAUCCAAUUUUAUUGAUUAAAAGAUUAAGUUACCUUAGGGAUAACAGCGUAAUUUUUUUAGAGAGUUCAUAUCGAUAAAAAAGUUUGCGACCUCGAUGUUGGAUUAAAAAUUAUUUUAGGUGUAGUAGUUUAAAAUUUUGGUCUGUUCGACCAUUGAAUUUUU
Molecule: ribosomal RNA, 513 nt
Filed under: Rhantaticus congestus
Lineage: Eukaryota; Metazoa; Arthropoda; Insecta; Coleoptera; Dytiscidae
Description: partial 16S ribosomal RNA
Rfam family: Bacterial large subunit ribosomal RNA (bases 390-513)
Source: RNAcentral